UUAAUUGGGGGACUCUAGCGAGACUGCCAGUGAUAAACUGGAGGAAGAUGGGGAUGACGUCAAAUCAUCAUGCCCCUUAUGACCUGGGCUACAAACGUGAUACAAUGGCUGAAACAAAGGGCAGCGAAGGAGCGAUCUGGAGCGAAACCCAAAAAAGCAGUCUCAGUUCGGAUUGAAGUCUGCAACUCGACUUCAUGAAGUCGGAAUCGCUAGUAAUCGCGGAUCAGAACGCCGCGGUGAAUACGUUCUCGGGGUUU
This 257-nucleotide ribosomal RNA is filed under the name uncultured Acholeplasma sp. RNAcentral's name for it is "partial 16S ribosomal RNA". It matches the Rfam family "Bacterial small subunit ribosomal RNA", at positions 1126 to 1382 of the family's 1533-position model. The record is from RNAcentral. Lineage: Bacteria; Bacillati; Mycoplasmatota; Mollicutes; Acholeplasmatales; Acholeplasmataceae.